UACGGAGGGUGCAAGCGUUAUCCGGAAUCAUUGGGUUUAAAGGGUCCGCAGGCGGACGUAUAAGUCAGUGGUGAAAUCUCUCGGCUUAACCGAGAAACUGCCAUUGAUACUGUACGUCUUGAAUUCGGUCGAAGUGGGCGGAAUGUGUCAUGUAGCGGUGAAAUGCAUAGAUAUGACACAGAACACCGAUAGCGAAGGCAGCUCACUAGGCCUGGAUUGACGCUCAGGGACGAAAGCGUGGGGAGCGAACAGG
Molecule: ribosomal RNA, 253 nt
Filed under: uncultured bacterium
Lineage: Bacteria
Description: partial 16S ribosomal RNA
Rfam family: Bacterial small subunit ribosomal RNA
Source: RNAcentral